Molecule: long non-coding RNA, 423 nt
Organism: Psammomys obesus (fat sand rat)
Lineage: Eukaryota; Metazoa; Chordata; Mammalia; Rodentia; Muridae
Exons: 3
Source: RefSeq, a predicted model, not a curated record
GGAAAGAUGAACAGAUGUGAACUUUCUUUUACAUAUUAUACCCCAGCUGCUCUUCACCCUUACUCACUCCCCAGUCUCUCUGUACUUUACAACAUCUUAAAAUGGUCCUUGCCCAGCUGGGGGCUUUUUACAUCACCAGGAAAAUAAGUGGUGGGAAAGGUUGCUAUGCAAUAACCAGAAAACAGUAAUAGCCAAAAUUAUGAAAGCUCUUUGUUGCUCUUAUGGGAAAGAAGCUAUUGAUAAGCGAUCCUGAGUAACCAAAAAGCAACUUCUGUGGAGAUGAUGCUGAGUGUAGGAAACACCUCCUGAGCCGCCCUACCUCCUGAGCCCUGUGGAGAUCUGACUUCUCCUGAAUGUCUGGUCUUGGUGUCUCAGAAUAUACACUUGGAGCCUGGAAAAUCUGUCCCCUUAGUGCUUCGCCCC